This 460-nucleotide ribosomal RNA is filed under the name uncultured bacterium. RNAcentral's name for it is "partial 16S ribosomal RNA". It matches the Rfam family "Bacterial small subunit ribosomal RNA", at positions 338 to 795 of the family's 1533-position model. The record is from RNAcentral.
CCUACGGGUGGCAGCAGUGAGGAAUAUUGGUCAAUGGGCGCGAGCCUGAACCAGCCAAGUAGCGUGAAGGAUGACUGCCCUACGGGUUGUAAACUUCUUUUAUAAAGGAAUAAAGUGAGGUACGUGUGCCUUUUUGUAUGUACUUUAUGAAUAAGGAUCGGCUACCUCCGUGCCCGCAGCCGCGGUUAUCCGGAGGAUCCGAGCGUUAUCCGGCUAUAUUGGGUUUAAAGGGAGCGAAGAUGGGUUGUUAAGUCAGAUGUGAAGGUUGGGGCGUCAACCGUAAGAUUGCAAUUGAUACUGGCAGGCUUGAGAACAGUUGAGGUAGACGGAAUUCGUAGUGUAGCGGUGAAAUGCUUAGAUAUCACGAAGAACUCCGAUUGCGAAGGCAGCUUACUGAGCUGCCACUGACAUUGAUGCUCGAAAGUGUGGGUAGCAAACAGGAUUAGAUACCCGUGUAGUC